Molecule: ribosomal RNA, 253 nt
Filed under: uncultured bacterium
Lineage: Bacteria
Description: partial 16S ribosomal RNA
Rfam family: Bacterial small subunit ribosomal RNA
Source: RNAcentral
UACGGAGGGUGCAAGCGUUAUCCGGAUUUAUUGGGUUUAAAGGGUGCGCAGGCGGAUUAUUAAGUCAGUGGUGAAAGCCCUCGGCUCAACCGAGGAACUGCCAUUGAUACUGAUAAUCUUGAGUAUAGUUGUAGUAGGCGGAAUAGGUCAUGUAGCGGUGAAAUGCUUAGAUAUGACCUAGAACACCGAUUGCGAAGGCAGCCAACUAAACCGUUAUUGACGCUGAGGGACGAAAGCGUGGGGAGCGAACAGG